Long non-coding RNA from Thunnus maccoyii (southern bluefin tuna), 390 nucleotides. RefSeq lists it as uncharacterized. Lineage: Eukaryota; Metazoa; Chordata; Actinopteri; Scombriformes; Scombridae. The record is from RefSeq and is a predicted model, not a curated record. The transcript is spliced from 3 exons.
UGGGUAGUCGUGCCAGUCUAACCUCCAAACUCCCUUCACUAAAAGCUUCUUAUCUUCUCUUUUGUUCUCAGUUGUGAAUAAAUUAAAAGCGAGAAUUUGAAUGUUCAUGUAAGGGUAUAGCACCACUCUAAAGGGUUUGACCAUAGUCCCCCUCUUCUCUUUAAAAGUGUCUGUUCUUUCUGUUCUUUCUGUUCACUGCAGCAACACUUUACCUUCAAACACUGAGAAGGAAACAGAAGAAGUGGACGACUUCAGAGCAUCCAUCAGACAUCGUUCUCCAAAGUAUUGUGGGACAAACUGACUGUGGGCGACAACAAUGAAGAUGGCUGGAUUGUGGUGGAUGACUGUGAUGCUGUUGCUCCUGUCUGCUGGAAGUUUGGCUACUAUCAA